RNAcentral lists this long non-coding RNA (750 nucleotides) under Equus asinus (donkey). Its description in RNAcentral is "lncRNA (ENSEASG00005032110.1)". The record is from RNAcentral. Lineage: Eukaryota; Metazoa; Chordata; Mammalia; Perissodactyla; Equidae.
GAUGACUGCACCUCCUGCUGACAUGCUGAUAGCAGCCGUGUGAAAGCCCAGAGCCAGAGGUCCCAGCUAAGCCACAUCCGGAUUCCUGACCCACAGAAACUGUGAGAUAGUAAAUGUACGUUGUUUUAAGCUGUUAAAUCUGGGGGUUAUUUUUUAUGCUGCAGAUAACUAAUACAUCUAAGUGUAAUUCCUAGCGCAAAGCUUCCCAGCAGGAGAACCAAGACACACUGGUAUGCGGAAUAUGGAUUACCGACGAGCCCAGGAGAUUGGUCCUUCAACCCCUGGGGCUGCCAGGAGCAGCCUCCCUUUCCCUGUUCCGUUCUGGCCCAACCAUUGCCUUCAGCUCCCUGGACACUGGAGGGAUGAGCCUUUCUGACCAGGAUUCCAAAGGAGCUGUACGUGGUCCGUCACUAGAGCAUCUCCAGCCAGUCCAGUCAUCUCCCAGCAUUAUUCUGUCCAAUCAGCUGGAAGAGGAUCUCAAUCUAAUGCUGUAUGGUCCAGCUGACUAUCAGAGCAUCCAGCAUUGCAUCAGCAACAAGGGUUAGGUGGGGUGGAUAAGGGAGGGGAUGGGAGCUGAGGGGGCAAUGUAGCUGACUGCCUUGAACAAGUCUCUCUUUCUGUAGACCUGCUUUUACUCUUUCUCCAGGAUGCAGUAAAAAAUAGCUAAUUAAAUUAUUUUUCUUGGGGACAAGGAUUGUGUCUUCAUUGAUAUCAUUCAUUGCCUGAACGUGUUAAAAAUUGUUACUUUCU